GAGGUUAAGCGACUAAGCGUACACGGUGGAUGCCCUGGCAGUCAGAGGCGAUGAAGGGCGUGCUAAUCUGCGAUAAGCGCCGGUAAGGUGAUAUGAACCGUUAUAACCGGCGAUACCCGAAUGGGGAAACCCAGUGUGACUCGUCACACUAUCAUUAACUGAAUCCAUAGGUUAAUGAGGCGAACCGGGGGAACUGAAACAUCUAAGUACCCCGAGGAAAAGAAAUCAACCGAGAUUCCCCCAGUAGCGGCGAGCGAACGGGGAGGAGCCCAGAGCCUGAAUCAGCAUGUGUGUUAGUGGAAGCGUCUGGAAAGGCGCGCGAUACAGGGUGACAGCCCCGUACACAAAAGCGCAUGUGCUGUGAGCUCGAUGAGUAGGGCGGGACACGUGGUAUCCUGUCUGAAUAUGGGGGGACCAUCCUCCAAGGCUAAAUACUCCUGACUGACCGAUAGUGAACCAGUACCGUGAGGGAAAGGCGAAAAGAACCCCGGCGAGGGGAGUGAAAAAGAACCUGAAACCGUGUACGUACAAGCAGUGGGAGCCCCACCACCAAAGCAUUCUCUGGUGUUGAAGGCCCUGCAA
This 582-nucleotide ribosomal RNA is filed under the name Salmonella enterica. RNAcentral's name for it is "partial 23S ribosomal RNA". It matches the Rfam family "Bacterial large subunit ribosomal RNA", at positions 1 to 626 of the family's 2925-position model. The record is from RNAcentral. Lineage: Bacteria; Pseudomonadati; Pseudomonadota; Gammaproteobacteria; Enterobacterales; Enterobacteriaceae.